AUUUGAGUAAUUUAUUUAAAAUACUGAUUUGUGGGGUCAGAAAUGUAAUUUAAUUACCUUAAGUU
Molecule: transfer RNA, 65 nt
Filed under: Parapsyche elsis
Lineage: Eukaryota; Metazoa; Arthropoda; Insecta; Trichoptera; Hydropsychidae
Description: tRNA-His
Source: RNAcentral